Molecule: transfer RNA, 85 nt
Filed under: Clostridiales bacterium
Lineage: Bacteria; Bacillati; Bacillota; Clostridia; Eubacteriales
Description: tRNA-Tyr
Rfam family: tRNA
About the family: Transfer RNA (tRNA) molecules are approximately 80 nucleotides in length. Their secondary structure includes four short double-helical elements and three loops (D, anti-codon, and T loops).
Source: RNAcentral
GGAGGAAUUCCUGAGUGGCCAAAAGGAGCAGACUGUAAAUCUGUCGCGUCAAGCUACGGUGGUUCGAAUCCAUCUUCCUCCACCA